This 24-nucleotide small nuclear RNA is filed under the name Arabidopsis thaliana (thale cress). RNAcentral describes it as "snRNA_06306". The record is from RNAcentral. Lineage: Eukaryota; Viridiplantae; Streptophyta; Magnoliopsida; Brassicales; Brassicaceae.
GACGGAAGGAAUAUAUGAUAAAAA